CUACGUGCCAGCAGCCGCGGUAAUACGGAAGGUCCAGGCGUUAUCCGGAUUUAUUGGGUUUAAAGGGAGUGUAGGCGGUUUGUUAAGCGUGUUGUGAAAUUUAGGUGCUCAACAUUUAACUUGCAGCGCGAACUGUCAGACUUGAGUACACGCAACGUAUGCGGAAUUCAUGGUGUAGCGGUGAAAUGCUUAGAUAUCAUGAAGAACUCCGAUUGCGAAGGCAGCAUACGGGAGUGUAACUGACGCUUAAGCUCGAAGGUGCGGGUAUCGAACAGGAUUAGAUACCCUGGUAGUCCGCACAGUAAACGAUGGAUGCUCGCUGUUGGCCUUUAUGGUCAGUGGCUUAGCGAAAGCGUUAAGCAUCCCACCUGGGGAGUACGCCGGCAACGGUGAAACUCAAAGGAAUUGACGGGGGCCCGCACAAGCGGAGGAACAUGUGGUUUAAUUCGAUGAUACGCGAGGAACCUUACCCGGGCUUGAACUGCAGCUGAACGAUUCAGAGA
RNAcentral lists this ribosomal RNA (503 nucleotides) under uncultured bacterium. Its description in RNAcentral is "bacterial SSU rRNA". It matches the Rfam family "Bacterial small subunit ribosomal RNA", at positions 501 to 1006 of the family's 1533-position model. The record is from RNAcentral.